UAAUACAUGCAAGUCGAGCGGACAGAUAAGGAGCUUGCUCCUUUGACGUUAGCGGCGGACGGGUGAGUAACACGUGGGCAACCUGCCCCUUAGACUGGGAUAACUCCGGGAAACCGGAGCUAAUACCGGAUAAUCCCUUUCUCCACCUGGAGAGAGGGUGAAAGAUGGCUUCGGCUAUCACUAAGGGAUGGGCCCGCGGCGCAUUAGCUAGUUGGUAAGGUAACGGCUUACCAAGGCAACGAUGCGUAGCCGACCUGAGAGGGUGAUCGGCCACACUGGGACUGAGACACGGCCCAGACUCCUACGGGAGGCAGCAGUAGGGAAUCUUCCGCAAUGGACGAAAGUCUGACGGAGCAACGCCGCGUGAGUGAGGAAGGCCUUCGGGUCGUAAAGCUCUGUUGUGAGGGAAGAAGCGGUACCGUUCGAAUAGGGCGGUACCUUGACGGUACCUACACCAGAAAGCCACGGCUAACUA
RNAcentral lists this ribosomal RNA (475 nucleotides) under Shouchella clausii. RNAcentral describes it as "bacterial SSU rRNA". It matches the Rfam family "Bacterial small subunit ribosomal RNA", at positions 49 to 503 of the family's 1533-position model. Lineage: Bacteria; Bacillati; Bacillota; Bacilli; Caryophanales; Bacillaceae. The record is from RNAcentral.